AGCGAACGCUGGCGGCAGGCUUAACACAUGCAAGUCGAGCGCCGUAGCAAUACGGAGCGGCAGACGGGUGAGUAACGCGUGGGAACGUACCUUCUGGUUCGGAAUAACUCAGGGAAACUUGAGCUAAUACCGGAUAAGCCCUUCGGGGGAAAGAUUUAUCGCCGGAAGAUCGACCCGCGUAAGAUUAGCUAGUUGGUGAGGUAAUGGCUCACCAAGGCUACGAUCUUUAGCUGGUCUGAGAGGAUGAUCAGCCACAUUGGGACUGAGACACGGCCCAAACUCCUACGGGAGGCAGCAGUGGGGAAUAUUGGACAAUGGGCGCAAGCCUGAUCCAGCCAUGCCGCGUGAGUGAUGAAGGCCUUAGGGUUGUAAGCUCUUUUAGUCAGGGACGAUAAUGACGGUACCUGCAGAAAAGACCCGGCCAACUUCGUG
This 432-nucleotide ribosomal RNA is filed under the name uncultured bacterium. RNAcentral describes it as "bacterial SSU rRNA". It matches the Rfam family "Bacterial small subunit ribosomal RNA", at positions 29 to 507 of the family's 1533-position model. The record is from RNAcentral.